ACGGGGGGAGCAAACGUUGUUCGGAAUCACUGGGCGUAAAGGGCGUGUAGGCGGCUGAAUAAGUGGGAUGUUAAAUCCCCAGGCUCAACCUGGGAACUGCAUCUCAUACUGUUCAGCUCGAGCACAUCAGAGGAGACUGGAAUUCCCGGUGUAGCGGUGAAAUGCGUAGAGAUCGGGAGGAACACCAGAGGCGAAAGCGGCGACCUGGACAGGUACUGACACUCAACUACGAAAGCGUGGGGAGCAAACAGGA
RNAcentral lists this ribosomal RNA (253 nucleotides) under uncultured prokaryote. RNAcentral's name for it is "partial 16S ribosomal RNA". It matches the Rfam family "Bacterial small subunit ribosomal RNA", at positions 525 to 777 of the family's 1533-position model. The record is from RNAcentral.